Molecule: ribosomal RNA, 505 nt
Filed under: uncultured bacterium
Lineage: Bacteria
Description: partial 16S ribosomal RNA
Rfam family: Bacterial small subunit ribosomal RNA
Source: RNAcentral
GACGAACGCUGGCGGCGUGCCCAAUACAUGCAAGUAGAACGCACAGUUUAUACCGUGGCUUGCUACACCAUAGACUGUGAGUUGCGAACGGGUGAGUAACGCGUAGGUAACCUGCCUGGUAGCGGGGGAUAACUAUUGGAAACGAUAGCUAAUACCGCAUAAUAUUAAUUAUUGCAUGAUAAUUAAUUGAAAGGUGCAAUUGCACCACUACCAGAUGGACCUGCGUUGUAUUAGCUAGUAGGUGAGGUAACGGCUCACCUAGGCGACGAUACAUAGCCGACCUGAGAGGGUGAUCGGCCACACUGGGACUGAGACACGGCCCAGACUCCUACGGGAGGCAGCAGUAGGGAAUCUUCGGCAAUGGACGAAAGUCUGACCGAGCAACGCCGCGGGAGUGAAGAAGGUUUUCGGAUCGUAAAGCUCUGUUGUAAGAGAAGAACGGGUGUGAGAGUGGAAAGUUCACACUGUGACGGUAGCUUACCAGAAAGGGACGGCUAACUACGUG